GGGGAUUUAGCUCAGUGGCAUACGCGCCUGCCUUGCAAGCAGGCAGUGGGGGGUUCAAUCCCCG
Molecule: transfer RNA, 64 nt
Filed under: Cavia porcellus (domestic guinea pig)
Lineage: Eukaryota; Metazoa; Chordata; Mammalia; Rodentia; Caviidae
Rfam family: tRNA
About the family: Transfer RNA (tRNA) molecules are approximately 80 nucleotides in length. Their secondary structure includes four short double-helical elements and three loops (D, anti-codon, and T loops).
Source: Rfam by way of RNAcentral